UAUGAAGUGCCUGAAUAAAAGGAUUAUUUUGAUAGAAUAAAUUAUAUGGGCUAUCCAUCUUCAUUG
This 66-nucleotide transfer RNA is filed under the name Thampoa tiani. RNAcentral's name for it is "tRNA-Ile". Lineage: Eukaryota; Metazoa; Arthropoda; Insecta; Hemiptera; Cicadellidae. The record is from RNAcentral.